Molecule: long non-coding RNA, 3157 nt
Organism: Anser brachyrhynchus (Pink-footed goose)
Lineage: Eukaryota; Metazoa; Chordata; Aves; Anseriformes; Anatidae
Source: Ensembl
GAAGAAAUUGAGUUAUGUAUGGAGCUCAUGCUGAAAGCGAGUAGCAGAGAAGUUGUUUUGCUGAGACUAAAACCAAGGGAGAAGCUGGGACAUGGGAGGGAGAGAAACAGUGGUGAUGUGUGUUUGAGAGCUCUACCUGGGCAGCGUCAGCAUGGAGCUGUGCCAAGGUCCUGGAGGAGCACAGCCCCAUAGCUAGGUGUUUGUUGGCUGUAUCUUUGCGAAAAUGGUCCAUUGGCCUUUCGUUUCUUUAGAUGACAGCAAUUUGCAGCUUGCGUACAGGGUGCUGGAUGCUGGCAGGGCGGAAUGUAACCCUGACGUUGUUGGAAGAGUAGAAAAAGGAAAGAGAAGCUUGGCAGCAGGGUCGGAGCUGUUUGCUUAACCCAGCCCUGUGGUGUAAUGUGGGGGUCCACAGUUUGGUAAAAGGUCCCCAAGGUGAUGAAAACUGAAAACUCCAAGAGUAACUGUUAGGUAUGGAAGGUGCUAUUGCAUGCUUUUGUUUGUUUGCAUUUGCAACUUAAAAUGCAUGCAAAGACACAGCCGGGUGCUGUGUCUCCUGGAUGGAGGACUGGAGAGGUUCCCAUGCUGCUGAACAAACCCUGUGGCUGACUUGGAGCACCCGCACCUUGUCCUGCCCACCCCUCUGCUGCAGGCUCCUGCUUCCCCUUUGGGACCAGGCCGAGAAGCACUAAUUGUGCAGCUGGCUGAGAGCGUGCAAGAAUGGCAGCGCUAGCGGUGGAAGGGAGACCCAGAUCUCCCAAGUACCAGACCAGCAGCUCCUUCAAGGUGCACCCUUCUGCACAGUAUUUGCUCUGGUGGCUGUGUGGUGCUCAGCUCUUCUGUCCCUGAAGUAGAGCCUGGGCUGGGGCCAAUGCUGGCUGCAGCUGAUGGAGAAAGCCCCAGUGUUCUGGAGGUCAUCCUUAUUGCCACGGCGCUGCUCCCGGGGGAACCCAAAUACGUACCCUGCUUUCGCUGUGGUCCUGGGCCUCCAGGGGCAGGAGGACCCCCUUCGUCUUCCAACUGCAGGUCGAAGCCCCCACAUUUCACCGGUGGCGUGUCCAACGGUAGGGAAGGCCGCUCCGUUUCGCAACCGCAGAAGCCAGACGUGCUGCCCUCGACUUUCCCUGCAGACGUGUUUGUGUGGUUCGUUUCUGCCAGCUGGAGCUCAAUACCUUCUUUACAAGCUUCUGCUUUCUGCAGGCAGGCUGCCAGCGCAGCCCGUGAUAGGUUUUCAAUGGCUGUGCUGUGCAGUUGGGAACGUCGAACCCCAAAAUGCUGAUGGAAGCAAACUGGAGCUUUCUCUGCCCUCAUCAGGAGCCCUCCACCUGUCUGCUUGGGCUCUGCCACCGCCGUUUUAGUGCGAGGAAACACGUGUGUUGCGCUGCGACCCUGAAGGUUGGCUGUGGUCAGGACGGCACCUUGUAUGCGUUAAUGUUCCUCCGCUAGGCUUCAGAGCAUGGCACCGCUCUGGUGUCCCCACCCCAACGAGUGGCACGGCUAGGAAGGGUUUCUGCUGAGGACUUCUGUCUCCAGCUGAUGCAGUGUAAUACGGGCAAGUGUAUGGGUCCUGGCUCAGCAUUACUUCAACAGCCGCUCAGCUGGGAACGUCUCUAGGGAGCCCAUGGGCUCCUUCCUGCAGACGCUUCAGUGCUGCUUGGGAGGUCAGGAGGGUGACAAAGGGUGAGGAAAGGAGUUUUUGUCUUUAAAGGGGUUUUUCAGUCGGCUGUGCCGCCAAGUGACUCCAUAUUCAUCGGGCUACUGAGUGAGCAGAGUGUUGGUGCUGCUGUUUGCCUCGCCACAGGGAGAAGCUGCUGCUAUUUUAUAGCUUCUUCUUUUUUCCCUGUGGAAGAAGCUAUAAAUCAUAGAUGAGUCCUUUACCUAAAUGACUCUGCAGCUCCCACCAAGGCAGCCAGACUGUAACAACUCCGAGUCUUUUGGAAAGAGCAAUUCCCAUUCCCUUGUCCUCUGCUGCCAGCGGCAGAGCAUGCAGAAGCCCUGGGGGCUUGGUGGAUCAAACACGAGACCCCAGGAGUCUGUUUUCCAAGCCCUACGGUGCCACCGGUUCGUGGCCUUGCUUCUGCAGAAAUAUUGGACUUGGUAUUUUGCUUAAGCCAGCACUGGCAUGGCGUGGGACUGAGUUCAUAUGGCAGCAUCUGAGACAGGCGGAGGCCAACGCAGGAGGCAGUCGAGCUGCUUCUCAGCUGGAGCUGCACACCCUUCUCUGUGGUUUUUGCUUCUCGGGGAAUCUACAAGCCCCUUGAGACCCUUCUGUUGGUGUGGGAGCCAAGGCUGGCCCCUGUGCUUCACCUCCUUGCUCCGGUGCCAGUUUCCUGGUGAGACGUUUAUGAAGCUGCAGGCCUUCUGCUCGCCCCUAGAGCUGAGUUUGCUGGGGAAUUUCAGUCACCGCUGGCGAGGAGCUCUGUGAGGUGUUCAGCAUCUCCAAAGAGGGCAGAAAGCGGUGGCAGGAGAAGCAGCAGGGAUGCAGCUGACAGCAGCAGCCCCUUUCCCUGGGGGUGCCCCAUGGGCUCUGUAGCUCGUGCUGCCAGCAGAGCUGCCUGUUGUAGGCUGCUGCGGUGACUGCUGGGGGUGCAAGUCCAGAAGGAUCACCCAGCCGCCCAGCAGCAUUUACCAACCUGAUCUGAAGGUGGCCAUGCCUUGCCAGAGCUUCUCCUGGGAAGAAGCAGGCUCCGGGUACCUAACUCCUGCUCCGAGGAGCCCAGGCCAUCAGUAAAUGCCAGCCCAUUUGCUGAGGUAAUCUUCCAUUUGCACAAAAUAAUUUCAUUUUUGAGAGCGGAUACGGAAAGCACUGCCAGUAGCAUAGUGUGCCCUGACAAAUCAUGCCGUAUGAUCGGAGCCUUGAAAUCCCAGCCUGCAGCCCUGGCUCCAAAUGCGAGUGGCAUUUAAGCUGUAUCCCCAGGGAGACAACAGCACAAGCAUCACAUCUUCCUGUCCGGGAGGGCCUUUGCCUUGCUGUCUGAUAAUGUUCCUCAUGCUAAUUUGCCAGCAAUUACUUCAGAGCUUUGUCUCCUCCUGAACAACCUCUUGACUUCAGCUUUAUCAUUCUGUUCCUGCGCUGAAAUAGCACGUGUGUCUGCAUCAUCCCAACAGCACCUGGGUUAGGUGGAAUAAAGCCCGUGUCUGGGGUGUGUUUUCUGUUGGA